RNAcentral lists this ribosomal RNA (573 nucleotides) under Steinernema carpocapsae. Its description in RNAcentral is "partial large subunit ribosomal RNA". It matches the Rfam family "Eukaryotic large subunit ribosomal RNA", at positions 392 to 971 of the family's 3401-position model. The record is from RNAcentral. Lineage: Eukaryota; Metazoa; Nematoda; Chromadorea; Rhabditida; Steinernematidae.
AGAGGACGUGAAACCGGUAGGGUGGAAGCAGAUAAAGUUGACGAACGUGUGUCGUAUUCAGAAUUACAAUUUGUGGUUUGUUUUUACGAUCGAUGUGGGCUGGCGUCUUUGGUUAACUUGGUGUCUGGCGGCAAUGGUGACCCUGCGGAGGGAUACUCGGUUGUCGUGCGAUGCUUGGUACGGCUAGAGGUUCGCUGGUUUUAUAGUCAUCGCUUUAUCUGACCCGUCUUGAAACACGGACCAAGGAGUGUACCGCUUACGCGAGUCUUAGAGUGUGUCAAAACUUUGAGGCGUAACGAAAGUAAAUGUGGAUUUAUUCACUGACUUGGGAUACGUUGUCUUUUUUGGAUAGCGUUGGACCAUGGUUUUAUCGUAAUCGCUUGCGAUGCGGUGAAAAUAGAGCGUAAGCGGUGCGACCCGAAAGAUGGUGAACUAUGCCUGAGCAGGAUGAAGCCGGAGGAAACUCUGGUGGAAGUCCGAAGCGGUUCUGACGUGCAAAUCGAUCGUCUGACUUGGGUAUAGGGGCGAAAGACUAAUCGAACCAUCUGGUAGCUGGUUUCCUCUGAAGUUUCC